Molecule: ribosomal RNA, 2887 nt
Filed under: human gut metagenome
Description: bacterial LSU rRNA
Rfam family: Bacterial large subunit ribosomal RNA
Source: RNAcentral
GAAAGUAAAGAAGGGCGCAUGGCGGAUGCCUUGGCUCUCGGAGGCGAUGAAGGACGUGAUAAGCUGCGAUAAGCUUUGGGGAGGUGCAAAUGACCUUUGAUCCAGAGAUUUCCGAAUGGGACAACCCAAUAUCUUGAAGAGGUAUUAUCCAACGUUGUUGGAGGCUAACGCAGGGAACUGAAACAUCUUAGUACCUGCAGGAAAAGAAAAUAAACAAUGAUUCCCCCAGUAGUGGCGAGCGAACGGGGAACAGCCCAAACCAUCCAUGUUACGGCAUGGGUGGGGUUGUAGGACUACGCCGUUGCAUGAAGACAUCAGAGAAGAACUUUCUGGAAAGAAAGACCAUAGAGCAUGACAGUUGCGUAUUCGAAUGUUGUCGAAGCAUAGUAGUAUCCUGAGUAGCGCGGAGCACGAGGAAUUCUGCGUGAAUCUGCCGGGACCAUCCGGUAAGGCUAAAUACUCCCGAGAGACCGAUAGCGAACCAGUACCGUGAGGGAAAGGUGAAAAGCACUUCGAACAGAAGAGUGAAAUAGUUCCUGAAACCGUGCGCCUACAAGCGGUCGGAGCUCGUUAAUGAGUGACGGCGUGCCUUUUGCAUAAUGAACCUACGAGUUGCCUUUGCCGGCAAGGUUAAGUGUGACGACACACGUAUCCGAAGCGAAAGCGAGUCUGAACAGGGCGUAUAGUCGGCAGUGGCAGACGCGAAACCAAGUGAUCUACCCUUGGCCAGGUUGAAGGCUGGGUAACACCAGCUGGAGGACCGCACCAAUAAGCGUUGAAAAGCUUCUGGAUGAGCUGAGGGUAGGGGUGAAAGGCUAAUCAAACUUGGAGAUAGCUCGUACUCCCCGAAAUGCAUUUAGGUGCAGCCUUGCGGGUUACUGAUGUGAGGUAGAGCGACUGAUAAGAUGCGAGGGCUUCACCGCCUAUCAAGUCUUGACAAACUCCGAAUGCGCAUCAGUUCUACCGCAGGAGUGAGGGCAUGGGUGCUAAGGUCCGUGCCCGAGAGGAGAAGAAUCCGGACCACCUGCUAAGGUCCCGAAAUGACAGCUAAGUUAAACUAACGAAGUCUGACUGCUAAGACAGCUAGGAUGUUGGCUUGGAAGCAGCCAUUCAUUUAAAGAGUGCGUAACAGCUCACUAGUCGAGGAGUCGGGCGUGGAUAAUAAUCGGGUAUCAAGUUGUCUACCGAAGCAGUGGGAUCAUUUAUAUGAUCGGUAGGGGAGCAUUCCAGUCGGCGUCGAAGGCGUACCGUGAGGUAUUCUGGAGCGUCUGGAAAAGCAAAUGUAGGUAUAAGUAACGAUAAAGGGGGCGGGAAACCCCCUCGCCGAAAGACUAAGGUUUCCUGAUCAACGCUAAUCGGAUCAGGGUCAGUCGGGUCCUAAGGCUCAGCCGAACGGCGAUGCCGAUGGCAGAAACGGUUAAUAUUCCGUUACUACCUUCAGGAGUGACGUGGAGACGCAGUAGUGACAGUGCCGCCAUCUGACGGAAUAGAUGGUUGAAGGGUGUAGGAGUCGAUCAUGGCAGGCAAAUCCACCAUGAGAUCCGAACCUGACAGUAUGCCGCGUCCUUCGGGACAAGGCAAUAGUGCGCGUAAGCAUGCUGCCGAGAAAAUCCGCUAAACUUAAUCCUGCAGGUACCCGUACCGCAAACGGACACACGUAGUCGGGAUGAAUAUUCUAAGGCGCUUGAGUGAUUCACGGUUAAGGAACUAGGCAAACUGACCCUGUAACUUCGGGAUAAAGGGUCCCUACCCUUUUAUGGGAGGGCGCAGAGAAUCGGUCCAGGCAACUGUUUAACAAAAACACAGGGCUGUGCCAAAUCGAAAGAUCCAGUAUACAGCCUGACACCUGCCCGGUGCUGGAAGGUUAAGAGGAGAUGUCAUCGAUAAGAGAAGCGUUGAAUUGAAGCCCCAGUAAACGGCGGCCGUAACUAUAACGGUCCUAAGGUAGCGAAAUUCCUUGUCGGGUAAGUUCCGACCUGCACGAAUGGUGUAAUGAUCUGGACGCUGUCUCAACCGUGAGCUCAGUGAAAUUGUAGUAUCGGUGAAGAUGCCGAUUACCCGCGAUGGGACGAAAAGACCCCGUGAACCUUUACUAUAGCUUAUCAUUGAAUCUGGGCACGUGAUGUGUAGGAUAGGUCGGAGGCUUUGAAGCAGGUACGCCAGUAUUUGUGGAGCCGCUGUUGAAAUACGACCCUUUAUUUGUUUGGAUUCUAACCCGUGGAUACGGGGACAUUGAUUGGUGGGUAGUUUGACUGGGGUGGUCGCCUCCAAAAGCGUAACGGAGGCUUCUAAAGGUGCCCUCCGGCCGAUUGGUAACCGGCCUUAGAGUGUAAUGGCAUAAGGGCGCUUGACUGGGAGACUGACAAGUCGAUCAGGUAGGAAACUAGAGCAUAGUGAUCCGGUGUUUCCGUAUGGAAGGGACAUCGCUCAAAGGAUAAAAGGUACUCCGGGGAUAACAGGCUGAUCCCUCCCAAGAGCUCAUAUCGACGGAGUGGUUUGGCACCUCGAUGUCGGCUCGUCACAUCCUGGGGCUGGAGAAGGUCCCAAGGGUUGGGCUGUUCGCCCAUUAAAGUGGCACGCGAGCUGGGUUCAGAACGUCGUGAGACAGUUCGGUCUCUAUCUAUCGUGGGCGUAUGAAAUUUGCGUGGCUCUGACACUAGUACGAGAGGACCGUGUUGGACUGACCGCUGGUUUACCAGUUGUGCCGCCAGGUGCAUUGCUGGGUAUCUAAGUCGGGAUUGGAUAAGUGCUGAAAGCAUCUAAGUACGAAGCCAGCCACAAGAUUAGAUUUCUUAGGGUCGUCAAAGACGAUGACGUUGAUAGGAUGCAGGUGUAAAGGUGGUAACAUCAAAGCCGAGCAUUACUAAUUGCCCGUUCACUUUCUUUC